RNAcentral lists this long non-coding RNA (4788 nucleotides) under Sus scrofa (pig). RNAcentral describes it as "lncRNA (ENSSSCG00060014791.1)". The record is from RNAcentral. Lineage: Eukaryota; Metazoa; Chordata; Mammalia; Artiodactyla; Suidae.
CUUUAGGGCUGUACCCAUGGCAUAUGGAGUUUCCCAGGCUAGGAGUCUAAUAGGAGCUACAGCUGCUGGCCUACACCACAGCCACAGUGAUGCAGGAUCCAAGCCGAGUCUGCAACCCACACCCCAGCUCAUGGCAAUGCUGGAUCCUUAACCCACUGAACGAGGCCAGUGAUUGAAUCUGCAUCCUCAUGGAUACUAGUCAGAUUUGUUUCCACUGAACCACGAUGGGAACUCCCUCCAUUUUUUUUUUUUAAUUAAAAAAAAUCUGGGAGUUCCCGUCAUAGUGCAGCAGAAACUAAUCCGACUAGGAACCAUGAGGUUUUGGGUUCAAUCCUGGCCUCACUCAGUGGGUUAAGAAUCCAUCAUUGCCGUGAGCGGUGGUGUACAUCGCAGACACGACUCAGAUCUGGCCAGCUCUGAUUUGACCCCUAGCCUGGGACCUUCCAUGUGCUGCGUGUGUGGCCCUAAAAAGAAAGAAAGAAAAAAAAAACCCUCACUUUUCCUGAAGAAAAGUCUUUUUGCAUUUACGUUUUUUUUUUAGGCAUGGUUGAUUUACAAUGUUGUGCCAAUUUCUGAAGUAUAGCAAAAUGACCCAGUCAUACAUUUAUAUGCAUUCUCUUUCUUAAUGUAUAUUAAGUUCUAUCACAGUCUAUCCCUAGAAACUGGCUGUAGUUCCUUUUAUCAUUGCUUUAACAGAGUAUCUCAAAUUUUUACGGGCCUGACAAUUCCAUGAUAUCCUAUUUUCAUCUAAGAAAAAUUUGAAAACUCCCUGGUAUCAUUUAUCUGUACAUGUUUCUAAAAUUAUUAAAUACGUUUUGGAUUAAUGGCUACACAUUACAACAUAUGAAACAUGAAAAUCUUUAAGAGCAACUAGUGCCAAAUUUAAUGGUUCUUGUUAAUGUUACUUUCUACCCUUUAGGUUCAAUAAAGUCAUUUUCACUCUGAUUGACAAAAUUUCCCAUAAUCCUCUAGAAUUUUUCAAGAUACAAGGCCUCAAGCCUCUCUCUCCCUCUUUUCUUGGAAAAGAUCUGUCCAGUCCUCUUUAGCGGCCGUGCAAGCAGAUCAAGGGAGGAGUUCCUGUUGUGGCUCAGUGGAAAUGAAUCUGACUAGCAUCCAUGAGGAUGAAGGUUCAAUCCCUGGCCUUGCUCAGUGGGUUAAGGAUCCGGUGUUGCCAUGAGCUGUGGCUGUGGCUGGGGAUGGGGCUCAGAUCUGGCAUCGCUGGGGCUGUGGCUGUGGCGUAGGCCGGCGGUUGCCAGCAGUUGCAGCUACAAUUCCACCCCUAGCCUGGGAACUUCUAUAUGCCACAGGUGCAGCCCUAAAAAAGCAAAAGAUUAAAAAAAAAAUCAAGGAAGUCACCAGGAGUUACUGCUAGAACCACCAAACAGCAAAUAAAGGCAAGCAAAGAGAUAUUGCUGUAUUUCCAGUCUAUUUGAGAGACAAAGUCAUUCAACUCAGGCAACGAGUUUUCCUUGAAGAAUGUCCAGACCCAAGGAAGAGGAAGGUGACAGGGGGAGAAGGGGUUCUUAAAGCCUAUACAUUUCACUAGUGUUUUAUACAAGAUUACUGUGUCAUCAGAUCAAGUAAGGGGCAGACCACAGACUUAGGGCAGGAGGUCUGAUAAGUAAGGGGAGAAUACUGUCUUUCUGUUGCUUGAAAAUCUUAAAUGCAGGAGAACUUGAGCACAAGAACUGCAGCUAUCAGAACAGUUUCUGCACAACCUGUAGCCAGUUUAUAUUUUCCAUAUGCCCAGGUAUAAUGUUCUACUAUUAUCUGAAAAUUCUACGUGAUAUGGCCAAUGAAAGCGUUAUUCCAUGUUAAGUUUCUGCAGACUCUUUAUAAUUCAGCAUAUAAUGAACAUCAUGAACAAAGAUGUCCCAAACCUGGACACAAAAUCUUUUCAAUCUUUUGCUGACAUGUAUUUCAUUUGCGUUUGUGAGUCUACGGAUCUACACUCCUGGAGCAAUGCGUACCGUUAAACUUGAAAUGACAUCUUUGCUCAUUUGAGUGAAUACAACUCAAAUAUAAUACUUGCUAUUUGAAAAGAAAAUUCUUGUUACUUUUCUUUGAAUAUCAUCACUGACUCUGGCUUUUUGUGACAACAUAUUUUUAAUUAACUAUAAGUUUUUGUGUUAUUUUUAUUUUUUAUAUUCCAUUUGUUGCAAUUGAGCCAGUAGGUCCUCCAUUAAGCUGGUCUCUGUCUCUUUCUCCAGAGAGAUGAUUACUUUCUGGCAAUAAAUGUUCCAACUCGGUUUAGAAUAUCACCCCAAGAAUGGAAUUAGCAUCUCUCCAAGGAGACCUGCUUUCAUUUAGUGGAGAAAAAAUAGUUCUGGUUUGUCUGCUAUAAUGUGAAAUGUGCUUUACUGAAAAACCUCACAUUCUACAAAAUCACCUAUUACAAGCCAUGGGAUGAAUAAAGUUGGGGAGACGGCUCAACAGAUGGGUAAUCUUGUAACCAAAGCACGAUGAAAAACAAAUACUGGUACCUUGGAAAUCACCUUGGUUGACCCAAGCAGGCAGCCAGACAUGGCUAGAGGCUCCAACAGCAGACAUUAAAAAUUCACAUAAACAUUGGGUGGAAAUGUGGCCACAGUCUAGUUAGAGCAGAGCUAGGGGCUCUGGGACAAUCUGGGCAAAACCAGUUCUGAGCCAGGAACUUCCCAGACACAGGAGCCAAAAGUGGCACAAGGCUUGGAUGCUCCUCUCUGGGCCUCCCCAGAGAGCCUAUGCAGGUGCUCGCUUUCCGUUUUUGCAAAGCAGAGCAAGAGGAAGCCUACUCCCAGUACAGCAGCAAGCUGUGGGAUUGUUUUCUUUCCUGCUGAAGUUCUAUAAUUCUACCCCUGCUUGCCUGGUUCCCCAGGCCUAGAGAAAAACUGAUAUGAUCAAACUUGACUUCUAGGUUAGACUGAUAUCAUUCUCGAAUCACACACUAUCUAAUUCCAAUGCUAGAAUCAUGCUUUGUGAAACCACCGGUUUCUUCCCUCUUUGUACAAGCAGGGUACCUUGAGAGGUGGAGGCUAUUCUCCCCCCUCCUCAGAUCUGAGCUGUCUUGGGACUGCUUUAACCAAGAGGGGACAGCAGGAGUGACACCAAAGGACUUCUGGGAUCAUCAUAAGAACUUUUGCAGCUUCCACCUGGAAUGCUUGCUCUAGACAAAGCUAGCCCCCAUGUAGGAAGUCUGAUUACCCUAAGGUAACCAUGCUGUAAGGAAGCCCAAGCUAGCCACAUGGAGAAGGCCCAUGGAGAGAUGCCCAGCCAGCUCCCCUUUGGUCCAGACAUCCCUUCCUGGAUGCUGAACAUAUAAAGAUCAUGAUUUCAGAAGUUCCCAUUGUGGCGCAGUGGAAACAAAUCUGACUAGUAUCCAUGAGGAUGUGGGUCCGAUCCUCAGUGGGUUGGGGAUCUGACAUUACCAUGAGUGCUGUGUAGGUCGCAGAUGAGGCUUAGAUCCCUUGUUGCUGUGGCUGUGGCAUAGGCCAGCAGCUGCAGCUCUGAUUGGACCCCUAGUUUGGGAACUUCCAUGUGCUGCAGGUACAGCCCUAAAAAGAGAAAAAAAAAAAAAAGACCUUGACUUCAGCCACAACCACCACCUGACUGCAACCUAUAAAACCCAAAGCAGGAGUUCCCGUUGUGGCGCAGUGGUUAACGAAUCCGACUAGGAACCAUGAGGUUGCGGGUUCGGUCCCUGCCCUUGCUCAGGGGGUUAAGGAUCUGGCGUUGCCGUGAGCUGUGGUGUAGGUCGCAGACGCGGCUCGGAUCCCGCGUUGCUGUGGCUCUGGCGUAGGCCGGUGGCUACAGCUCCAAUUCGACCCCUAGCCUGGGAACCUCCAUAUGCCGCGGGAGCGGCCCAAGAAAUAGCAACAACAACAACAACAACAACAAAAAACCCAAAGCAAGAACAAUUCAACCCAACUCAUCAACCUCCAGAACUGUGAGGCAUAAUAGUAGAUUGUCCUUUUAGACUACUAAGUUUUAGGAUGCUCUGUGAUGCAUAGUUAACCAGAACAGAGAGGAAUAUACUGAACUAACAUAUAAAAAUUAGGCAUGGGGAUGGAGAAUAGAUUAUCUGUCGAGUGUAGUGGGUAACUGUAGCCAGGCUAUUCAGGGGCACAGCUAGAAAGGAUCUCCUUUGUAUACAUAAGUUCACACUAACACUUUUCUUUUUUUUUUCCGGCCGCCAUAUGCAGCGCACUUGCUGAGCUGUAGAAUUAUUUAUAACUUAAAAACAAAUAAUAUAACUACUUAUUUGCCUUAGCCUUCCACACAAAAUACAUCCAAAGUAAAAAUGAUACUCUUCACACAGAUAAUAAGACCCCUGGGUGAAUAAUAAGAUUUAACAUUGCAGUGGUUGGCAGCCAUAUUUGGAACUAUCCCAUUACUGAUUGCUACUCAAAUUGCUUUGUUUUGAUGUAUUGGAGCUGAAACGUAAACAAAACUUCCCCAUUGUGGUUAGGUUUUGAGAUCAUGAAAAGUCUUAUUUUUACAAUGCUACUGUUUCAAACACCAGAAAUUAUAAUGUACUUUCUAAAGUAUCAGUAGAGCCAGGAACAGCUUUUAGUAGAGAAAGGAGAAAAUACAACUUGUUUUAAAUGUACUUACAUUUGAGUUCCCGUCUGUGGCUCAGUGGUUAACGAAUCCGACUAGGAACUACAAGGUUGCGGGUUCGAUCCCUGGCCUUGCUCAGUGGGUUAACAAUCCGGCGUUGCCGUGAGCCAUGGUGUAGGUCACAGACAUGGCUCGGAUCUGGCAUUGCUGUGGCUCUGGCUUAGGCCAGCGGCUACAGCUCCAAUUGGA